GACGAACGCUGGCGGCGUGCUUAACACAUGCAAGUCGAACGGAAAGGCCCUGCUUUUGUGGGGUGCUCGAGUGGCGAACGGGUGAGUAACACGUGAGUAACCUGCCCUUGACUUUGGGAUAACUUCAGGAAACUGGGGCUAAUACCGGAUAGGAUCUCCUGCUGCAUGGUGGGGGUUGGAAAGUUUCGGCGGUUGGGGAUGGACUCGCGGCUUAUCAGCUUGUUGGUGGGGUAGUGGCUUACCAAGGCUUUGACGGGUAGCCGGCCUGAGAGGGUGACCGGCGACAUUGGGACUGAGAUACGGACCAGACUCCUACGGGAGGCAGCAGUGGGGAAUAUUGCACAAUGGGCGGAAGCCUGAUGCAGAAACGCCGCGUGCGGGAUGACGGCCUUCGGGUUGUAAACCGCUUUCGCCUGUGACGAAGAGUGAGUGACGGUAAUGGGUAAAGAAGCACCGGCUAACUACGUG
This 468-nucleotide ribosomal RNA is filed under the name uncultured bacterium. RNAcentral describes it as "partial 16S ribosomal RNA". It matches the Rfam family "Bacterial small subunit ribosomal RNA", at positions 28 to 507 of the family's 1533-position model. The record is from RNAcentral.